CAUUGCCUUAAUGAAGCCUCGAUUUGGACAGUUUCUCAGCCUCAAAACUUCUUCAGAAGAGAAAUGGCACCUCUGCCAUGGAAGCCAAACCUUUAUCCAUGUGGAGUGGGCCUUGGGAAAUGCCACUGGUGACCAGCUCCAGGAAAAAGAAUGCAUAGUGUAGAAAAACCACCUGGGCAGCACAUCAUUGCCCCGGGACACAACUUGAUCUCAACCUUGGCUCACAUCACCCAAGCUUCCUGCUCCUUGGUCCAUCUGCUCUGACAAGGAAUAUGUGCCUGAUUCUGACCUGAAUUCUAGGUGGCAUGUGGUCAGGAGAAUAGUUCUGCCUCCAACUGACUGUAUGGCCAUGGGCCAGUCAUUUCUAUGGGCCCUCAGUUUCCCUAUCUGCACAAUGAUGGAACUGGGUUACAGGAACUCCAGAAAACUUGCUCUCAACUUCUGGCCCUAGUAGGACUGAAAAAAUCCAUUUUGAAAAGGUGAUCUUGCCCCCAUCAAUGCUAACCAUGAUUCUGGUCCCGUUGAAAUCCUUUACUCUUACUGCAUAGUCAGACAUGAGUCAUUUGAAGAUGUGAUGGGUAGGUAUGGAUUUUAUUGCUCCUAUAAAUUACAUCACCAUUCAUCUUCAUGGUUUCAUGGGUGGGGAUGAAUGACAGAGGAAGAGCCUUUUGGUCUAUGUAAACUCUCAACCAGCUAGUGAUAAUUUUUUCAAUAAAUCAGGCCCACUUCCACCUCUGCAACCAAUUCCUUCUUGUUCUUUAGGCCACACCUCUCCCACUCAUUUAGCAAAUAUUUAUUGAGCAUCUACAAUGUCCCCUGCUCCGUGACCACUUUUGGAAAGGGUGAGAGUGGAAGGUGGAGAGAAGAUGCAGGAUGGUGGAAAAGUGCUUUUAUGAGUUUCCAACUCUCAUAGUUUAGUCCUGUGCUGUAUAAUGACACUAGCAGUGAAGAUGAAAAUGUUCUAUAAAAUCUGUGCUGUUCAAUAAGGACAAACUUCAUGUUACUAUUGGCCACUUUCAAUGGAAGGCAUGGUUUGAAGUCCCUGUGCUAAGGUAUAAUGACUAUAAGGGAGGAAUAGAGUGCUGGGGGCUUUGUAGCAGACACCAGGACUCAGUCCUCUUAAUCUUCUCUUUGAAGCCUCAGUCUCUUAAUGUGUAGAAUGGGUGGCAAUAAUGCCUAUUUCCAAGAAUUCUUUUGAGGACCAAAGGGUGUGUAGACUUUGGCACAGGGCCUGUUCCAUUGCAGGUGUUCAAUCGGGCACUCCCUUCCCCUCUGUUGUGUUUUCUUAGUUCUCAGGACUCUUGCAUGCUGAGGACAAGUUCAUGCAUCAACCUUGUUAUGGAUUGAAUUGUAUCCCCCCAAAUGAUAUGUUUGAGUCUAUUCCCUGGUCCCAUUAAUGUAUUCCUGUUUGGAAAUAGGAUCUUUGAAGAUGUUAUCAGUUAAG
Molecule: long non-coding RNA, 1444 nt
Organism: Choloepus didactylus (southern two-toed sloth)
Lineage: Eukaryota; Metazoa; Chordata; Mammalia; Pilosa; Megalonychidae
Exons: 3
Source: RefSeq, a predicted model, not a curated record